This 433-nucleotide ribosomal RNA is filed under the name uncultured bacterium. RNAcentral describes it as "partial 16S ribosomal RNA". It matches the Rfam family "Bacterial small subunit ribosomal RNA", at positions 29 to 507 of the family's 1533-position model. The record is from RNAcentral.
AACGAACGCUGGCGGCAUGCCUAACACAUGCAAGUCGAACGAGACCUUCGGGUCUAGUGGCGCACGGGUGCGUAACGCGUGGGAACCUGCCCUUAGGUUCGGAAUAACUCCCCGUAAGGGGUGCUAAUACCGGAUAAUGUCUUCGGACCAAAGAUUUAUCGCCUUUGGAUGGGCCCGCGUUGGAUUAGCUAGUUGGUAGGGUAAAAGCCUACCAAGGCGACGAUCCAUAGCUGGUCUGAGAGGAUGAUCAGCCACACUGGGACUGAGACACGGCCCAGACUCCUACGGGAGGCAGCAGUAGGGAAUAUUGGACAAUGGGCGAAAGCCUGAUACAGCAAUGCCGCGUGAGUGAUGAAGGCCUUAGGGUUGUAAAGCUCCUUUACCCGGGAUGAUAAUGACAGUACCGGGAGAAUAAGCUCCGGCUAACUCCGUG